AACGGCCAUACCAUGCUGAAUAUACCGUUUCUCGUUAGAUCACCAAAGUCAAGCAUCAUUGGGUGCUGCGGUCAGUACUUAGGUGGGUGGCCACCUAGAACACCGCGUGCCGUU
Caerostris extrusa is the source of this 114-nucleotide non-coding RNA. The record is from the annotation of a GenBank genome assembly. NCBI's taxonomy places the organism in Eukaryota, Metazoa, Arthropoda, Arachnida, Araneae, Araneidae.